RNAcentral lists this ribosomal RNA (488 nucleotides) under uncultured bacterium. RNAcentral describes it as "partial 16S ribosomal RNA". It matches the Rfam family "Bacterial small subunit ribosomal RNA", at positions 30 to 523 of the family's 1533-position model. The record is from RNAcentral.
AUUGAACGCUGGCGGCAGGCCUAACACAUGCAAGUCGAGCGGGGUUUUCGGACCUAGCGGCGGACGGGUGAGUAAUGCGUAGGAAGCUGCCCGAUAGAGGGGGAUACCAGUUGGAAACGACUGUUAAUACCGCAUAAUGUCUACGGACCAAAGUGUGGGACCUUCGGGCCACAUGCUAUCGGAUGCGCCUACGUGGGAUUAGCUAGUUGGUGAGGUAAUGGCUCGCCAAGGCGACGAUCUCUAGCUGGUUUGAGAGGAUGAUCAGCCACACUGGAACUGAGACACGGUCCAGACUCCUACGGGAGGCAGCAGUGGGGAAUAUUGGACAAUGGGCGCAAGCCUGAUCCAGCCAUGCCGCGUGUGUGAAGAAGGCCUUCGGGUUGUAAAGCACUUUCAGCGAGGAGGAAGGGUGGUGUGUUAAUAGCACAUCAUUUUGACGUUACUCGCAGAAGAAGCACCGGCUAACUCUGUGCCAGCAGCCGCGGUAA